CAGCACCAGUAGACCCAAAUUUAAAAGAAGACAGAAACACAUCACAAUUAAAAAUAAAGGUUCCCCAUCAUUUCCAAUAGGAACAACUUCCUCACGUUCAAGAACAGGAGGAGGAGGAUUGCUAUUACUCUGCUCAUCAACAAUUUCAGGUUGCCACCAGCCGACGAUACUUUCACAGCCUCAGCAUAGAAACACUUCACAGGUAAGUCUUUUUCUUUUACAGGUAUAUCAUCAAACUGCUCCAUCACUAAACUUGGAUUAGAGUCCAGGAGCACACAAGAGUCCUCCAUCCUCAGUCCAGUCCACGAGAACAGCUCGGAAUUCGAAGGCAGGAAAUCUCCUUCACAGAGAUGACGGAGUGAUAGGGCCGUACAGCCCAGAACAGGUGAUAGUGCACUAAAGUGCGCUAGCCUGAACAUUAGAACGAUGACAACACAGGUAUAACAGGGUCCUUCCGAUGAAUACACACACAACCACGGCAUGGUGUGCCGGAGACCCCGUCGGUGAGUACGAUGGGGGUGCCCAUAGGGAUGACACCCCGCGCUUCGGGACGAACCUGCUCAGUAAAACUGACGCAGAGGUCCCUAACGCAAAAAAAGAUGGAAACAAACAGACAAAAUCGUACUCACUAAGAACACCAGAUGACCAAACUUCCGAGCACACCUUCGAAUAAGUAACGUUGCCGCUGUGGAGCUAAAAAGUAGAAAAAAAGCACUAAAUUAAUAGCAGAUAUUAACAGCUAAAUGACCUUUUGGCACAACAGA
RNAcentral lists this long non-coding RNA (764 nucleotides) under Androctonus crassicauda. Lineage: Eukaryota; Metazoa; Arthropoda; Arachnida; Scorpiones; Buthidae. The record is from RNAcentral.